AAAUAAAAAUGAAAAUUACUAAAACACCUUAUUAUUGUUUUAAAUAUAUAAAUGGCUAUUGUAUAAAAUAGGAAUAUAAAAAUUCAAAACCAUCUCAAACCACUGAUUUUGUGGUUUGAAAUCCUAUAGCAAAAUGAUGGUUAUGAAACCAUCAUGUUAUAAUCUAGGACCACCAUUUUUCAAUAACAAUCUAAACAAAUAAGGAGUAUAACCAUACCACACAAUAUUACAUCAUGAUAAACCAUCAUCCAGACAAGGAGUAACUAGUAUUGCACUUGCAUAUGAAUACAGAGUAAUAAAAAUGCCAAUGGAUAACAAUAUUGGCACCAUAUGUUAAAAAAUUAGUACCAAGCAUGGCCAAUCCUACAUAGGGCUGUGCAGUUUUCGGCGUGAACUGAAAAACCGAACCGAACCGAGCCAUUUCGGUUCAAUCAGUUCGGUUUUUUAAUUCUAUCGGUUCGGUUCGGUUCGGUUUAAUCGA
RNAcentral lists this unclassified non-coding RNA (481 nucleotides) under Hevea brasiliensis (rubber tree). The record is from RNAcentral. Lineage: Eukaryota; Viridiplantae; Streptophyta; Magnoliopsida; Malpighiales; Euphorbiaceae.